This is a long non-coding RNA of Bufo bufo (common toad), 1959 nucleotides long. RefSeq lists it as uncharacterized. Lineage: Eukaryota; Metazoa; Chordata; Amphibia; Anura; Bufonidae. The record is from RefSeq and is a predicted model, not a curated record. The transcript has 2 exons.
AGUGCACCAGCAGAAUAGUGAGUGCAGCUCUGGAGUAUAAUACAGGAUGUAUCUCAGGAUCAGUACAGGAUAAGUAAUGUAAUGUAUUUACGAAGUUACCCAACUAAGAUAUGUUGACAGUUAUACAUGAUGACAUUUUACAACGUUUUAGUAAAAAUGUCGGUUAAUAAGACAACUAAUCAACUUCAAUGUUUUCCAUGGUCAGAAUUUUUGCCGCUCUCACCCAACAGGGGAAAGACUCUUAUCAUGUGACUGUCAUGGUAAAUGGUAACCCCUUAGACAGUGACCAUACAUGGCAUCCUUUCAAAAUUGCAUGUUUAAUGAGACUAUUAUAUAUAUAUAUAUAUAUAUAUAGUGGCGAGUGACAAUCUACUGUAUCCAACCACAGUGGGCCUGUGUCCUAGUGACCCACGGAGAUGAACAUAUUGAUCUGCCAAUAGAAAGCAUAGAGAAAGGACAGCACCACUUACUGACGUAUGUUAGUCCAUCAUUUGGUGGCGGUGCUCGAGGUGUCAGGCCCUGGCCCAAGGGACCCCUCAAUUACCGAAAAAAUUGGAGUGCUACGGUUUUUUCAAACUUUUUCCAUAUUGAUUUGCCAGUCACACAAUGCAAUGGCCACAUUGCUUUUUUUUCUCUUAUCUCUUCUCUUUGCUUGAAGUGAAGCCCAAGGCGUGUAGCUAAUAGGGUGCAGAGGCCACUGUGACACCUAUUAUAAAUGGCACAUUGUAGUGUGGGUGCCCUCUUACAGAUUUUGCACAGGUUCCUAAGACGCUUUGAGUUACUCUUGUGCAAACCCCCAUGUGUAACAUAUCCUAAUGGCAGCCAUAUUGAGAACAUACUUGCCAACUCUCCCAGGACGCCCGGGAAGCUAUUACAAUACAUGAGAGACCUCCCGCAACCCCUGGAAGAGUUGUCAAAUCUCCUGGGCACCGAGGGCUGCCCUCCAUGUACUGUAACUGAAUCUGGUGCUGGGAUUCUGCCUUAUUAGAUGCAGUCCCAACUCCCAAAAGUGCAGUGAGGGGGUGGGGCCUGAAAAAGAGGGCGUGUCCGUGGCGAAAAAUACGUGCCCCGCUUCACACACCGCAGCCUCCUAUCUCCCUGAUGUCAGCUUUCAGAAGUCGUCUAGUAUGAUUGAGAACCAUGUGUCAGCACUACCAGGGCUCCUGGUUUUGGAAGCUUUUUAUAUAUUUUUUUGGAAUCAUGUUUUUUCCAGAGCUGUAAAGGUCAGAAAAGAGGUGUAUUUUUAAAUGUAAAUGUGCAAUGGCCGCCUGUUGCUAGGCAACAGCCAUGACGACAACAAAACUUUAUUGUACAAGACAGAUGUUCAAUAAUGAACAAAACCAUUGACUGUGCAUGUAGAUAUCAGCGUCCAGGACGCCCGCUUCACGGCCCAAUUGCUUGUCGUGUAAGAUCCUUGAAGCCACCUUGGACUUUAGGUGCUUUCUAUGGAGACAGCAUAUCCUUGUGUACAAUAUACAUUAUUAUAUAUAUCAGCUGUACUGGGGCAAUAUCAUUUUUGUAAGACUUCUUUAAUUUGCAGCACUAAGGGGGUUAGUUCUAAGACCGAAGGUAUUUCUAGUGUGUAAACACCUGUAGAAGCAUGAAUCCCAUCAUCCGUGAUGACUACUGUCAUUCGGACUUACAUAACAGCGGUAUAUUGAGAGGAGUUAAUGUCGGUAUAGGCCUUGUUGGGAGUUUUUGGCCGUUGCCCAUUACAUUUCACUGAUGUCAUUGUUCAGGAUGUUCCUGAAUCGGCAGGCGGACUGCGCUCCGUAGCUGCAGAGUACUGACUGGGGUGUGGGGUUUUGACGACUUAUGCUGCCGUGGUUGUUGCUGCCCAUGGUAGGAUUGGAACGGGACGAAUACCCCUAAAUUAAAAUAAAAAUAUUUGGGACAUGUUUAUGGCAAAUGGAGGACAAAGGUAUGUAAAGUGACCUAUGUGGAUCCCUUGUAAAAAAA